This 147-nucleotide non-coding RNA is filed under the name Aneurinibacillus sp. XH2. RNAcentral's name for it is "FMN riboswitch aptamer (RFN element)". It matches the Rfam family "FMN riboswitch aptamer (RFN element)". From Rfam's summary of the family: The RFN element is a highly conserved domain that is found frequently in the 5'-untranslated regions of prokaryotic mRNAs that encode for flavin mononucleotide (FMN) biosynthesis and transport proteins. This element is a metabolite-dependent riboswitch that directly binds FMN in the absence of proteins. Lineage: Bacteria; Bacillati; Bacillota; Bacilli; Caryophanales; Paenibacillaceae. RNAcentral also lists the same sequence under 1 other name. The record is from Rfam by way of RNAcentral.
CAAAUCCUUCGGGGCAGGGUGAAAUUCCCGACCGGCGGUGAUAGAGGCUACGAGCCUCUUCAGUCCGUGAGCUGCGGCUUUUUUGGCCAAUGCUGACCCGGUGCAAGUCCGGGACCGACAGUAUAGUCUGGAUGGGAGAAGGAUGGA